This 650-nucleotide ribosomal RNA is filed under the name Pediococcus pentosaceus. RNAcentral's name for it is "bacterial SSU rRNA". It matches the Rfam family "Bacterial small subunit ribosomal RNA", at positions 65 to 698 of the family's 1533-position model. The record is from RNAcentral. Lineage: Bacteria; Bacillati; Bacillota; Bacilli; Lactobacillales; Lactobacillaceae.
UACUUGUACUGAUUGAGAUUUUAACACGAAGUGAGUGGCGAACGGGUGAGUAACACGUGGGUAACCUGCCCAGAAGUAGGGGAUAACACCUGGAAACAGAUGCUAAUACCGUAUAACAGAGAAAACCGCAUGGUUUUCUUUUAAAAGAUGGCUCUGCUAUCACUUCUGGAUGGACCCGCGGCGUAUUAGCUAGUUGGUGAGGUAAAGGCUCACCAAGGCAGUGAUACGUAGCCGACCUGAGAGGGUAAUCGGCCACAUUGGGACUGAGACACGGCCCAGACUCCUACGGGAGGCAGCAGUAGGGAAUCUUCCACAAUGGACGCAAGUCUGAUGGAGCAACGCCGCGUGAGUGAAGAAGGGUUUCGGCUCGUAAAGCUCUGUUGUUAAAGAAGAACGUGGGUAAGAGUAACUGUUUACCCAGUGACGGUAUUUAACCAGAAAGCCACGGCUAACUACGUGCCAGCAGCCGCGGUAAUACGUAGGUGGCAAGCGUUAUCCGGAUUUAUUGGGCGUAAAGCGAGCGCAGGCGGUCUUUUAAGUCUAAUGUGAAAGCCUUCGGCUCAACCGAAGAAGUGCAUUGGAAACUGGGAGACUUGAGUGCAGAAGAGGACAGUGGAACUCCAUGUGUAGCGGUGAAAUGCGUAGAUAUA